RNAcentral lists this long non-coding RNA (336 nucleotides) under Gossypium barbadense (sea-island cotton). RNAcentral's name for it is "long non-coding RNA (GBAR_LNC012620)". Lineage: Eukaryota; Viridiplantae; Streptophyta; Magnoliopsida; Malvales; Malvaceae. The record is from RNAcentral.
UCUAAAUACCGUUGGACCGAAGGCUGAGCUCAAUGAAGCCCUUCCAAAUAGCUGAAGUAGGAUGGGGCAGGUAGUCCCUUCCUUAUCUAAGAGCUUUGCUCUAUCGCCAUUGUUCUGAGUCUUGCUCGGCUAUUGGAUUCUUGGCCCACCUCACACUACCUUAACCCCCUCUUUGUACUAGCGCAGAAAAGUCCUAAGGAAAGCAAAUGACAUAGAAUAAGAUGUCAUCUCAUGCCCUCUUUGAAUGGCUUAUUCAAGAAGGGAAGGGAUUGCUGCUCAUAGAAAGAAAACGCUCUUGGUGAAUCCAGACAAAUGCUAUCGAAUUAGCUGCUUGAG